This 257-nucleotide ribosomal RNA is filed under the name uncultured bacterium. RNAcentral describes it as "partial 16S ribosomal RNA". It matches the Rfam family "Bacterial small subunit ribosomal RNA", at positions 524 to 776 of the family's 1533-position model. The record is from RNAcentral.
UACGUAGGGGGCAAGCGUUUAUCCGGGAAUCAUUGGGCGUAAAGCGCGUGUAGGCGGUUCCGUAAGUCCGCUCUGGAAGGCCCAGGGCUCAACCCUGGGAGGCGGGUGGAUACUACGGAACUGGAGUACGGAAGAGGAGAUUGGAAUUCCUGGUGUAGCGGUGAAAUGCGCAGAUAUCAGGAGGAACACCGGUGGCCGAAGGCGGCUCACUGGUCCGGUACUGACGCUGAGGUGCGAAAGCGUGGGGAGCAAACAGG